GCGAGGGUACCCAAGUGGUCAAAGGGGCCAGGCUUAGGACCUGGUGGCUUAGUGCCUUCGCAGGUUCAAAUCCUGCCCCUCGCA
RNAcentral lists this transfer RNA (84 nucleotides) under Candidatus Aenigmatarchaeota archaeon. RNAcentral's name for it is "tRNA-Leu". It matches the Rfam family "tRNA". From Rfam's summary of the family: Transfer RNA (tRNA) molecules are approximately 80 nucleotides in length. Their secondary structure includes four short double-helical elements and three loops (D, anti-codon, and T loops). The record is from RNAcentral. Lineage: Archaea; Nanobdellati; Candidatus Aenigmatarchaeota.